Molecule: RNA transcript, 1749 nt
Organism: Octodon degus (degu)
Lineage: Eukaryota; Metazoa; Chordata; Mammalia; Rodentia; Octodontidae
Gene name: ribose-phosphate pyrophosphokinase 1 pseudogene
Exons: 1
Source: RefSeq, a predicted model, not a curated record
AUCAUGAUUAAUGCCUGCAAGAUUGCUUCAGCCAGCCGAGUCACUGCAGUCAUCCCGUGCUUCCCUUAUGCCCGGCAGGAUAAGAAGGAUAAGAGCCGAGCUCCAAUCUCAGCCAAACUUGUUGCAAAUAUGCUGUCUGUAGCAGGUGCAGACCACAUUAUCACCAUGGAUCUACAUGCUUCUCAGAUUCAGGGCUUUUUUGAUAUUCCAGUGGACAACUUGUAUGCAGAGCCAGCUGUCCUGAAGUGGAUUAGAGAGAAUAUCUCUGAAUGGAGGAAUUGUACAAUUGUCUCACCUGAUGCUGGUGGAGCCAAGAGAGUUACCUCCAUUGCAGAUCGGUUGAAUGUAGACUUUGCUUUGAUUCACAAAGAGCGGAAGAAGGCCAAUGAAGUGGACCGCAUGGUGCUGGUGGGAGAUGUGAAGGAUAGGGUGGCUAUCCUUGUAGAUGAUAUGGCUGACACUUGUGGCACGAUCUGCCACGCAGCUGACAAACUUCUCUCAGCUGGCGCAACCAGAGUCUAUGCAAUCUUGACUCAUGGAAUCUUUUCUGGCCCAGCCAUUUCUCGUAUCAACAAUGCAUGCUUUGAAGCAGUAGUAGUCACCAAUACCAUACCUCAGGAGGAUAAGAUGAAGCACUGCUCCAAGAUACAGGUGAUUGACAUCUCCAUGAUCCUCGCAGAAGCCAUCAGGAGAACCCACAAUGGGGAGUCUGUUUCCUACCUGUUCAGUCAUGUCCCUUUAUAACGGAGUAACUUCUAGAGUUUUUUAAACAUAAAGUGAACCCACCCCCUGUUUUCCGUUGAUAUUCUAUGACAAAUUUGGAAGACCCAGCUUGCUCUUAGCUCUCCACAUCCCACAUUAGGUACAUUAUUAGAGUUUAUCCUAAAUUGGGACAAGCCAGAUUGAGACUGCUGGGAUUUCCUAUCUGUAUUGCCUCAUUCUGCCUUGAUGGUUUUGCGAGCCUUGCAGCAUUAACUAGAGCUCAGUUCCUGCAGAAUUGCAAACUUUUUUUGAGAUUAUUGUUUAGCCAGGGAUGUAGCUCAGCAGCACAACACCUGCCCUGGCAAGUGUGAGGUCCUGAGUUUGAUUCCCGGUACAAAAAUAAACAAAAACAACUUGUUUUAAAGCUGUUUGAAUGUGAUUUUGGAAGCUCAGCCUCCUUGGCAGGUGGAUACUUUAGGGUUGCUCUUUGUUCAGAACAGCUGGCCACAGAGCCAGCCCAUGUGUGGCCAGUUCUCUAAGUUUAGUCCUGAAUUACCAAAAGCCUUGGGCAGUCCCAAAUUUAGUCCCAGUAGUGCAGGAGUCUGGCAGGAGUGGAGGGGCUCAGCUCGAGCAGCUGUUGGGUGGGGUCUUCAAGGUGGGGCAGGGGAUAGGCAGUUGGCAAAUGUCUCUUGGGAGGAAGAAGCCUGACCCAUUGUCAUCUGCUUGUCUGUGUAGCUUGGAUUCUCCUACCUGUUCCUUUCUACAUGGCUUUACCCACAGCCAAUAUCCCCUCACGCCCAAAUGGCUUGCUUCCUGCUUUAUCACUGUCAACAUUCACAUUAGAUAAUUUGCUGUGGCUUAAUCUUCCUUUACCUGCUACCAUCAUGGUAGUAGGUUUUAGGUGGUAUCAUAUAGUGCCUUUUGAUUAAUUUAAGUAUUUAAUUUUCAUCUUUCUUCCUUGGAUCCAUUUUGCCUCAUGACCUGAGAUUUCUGUUAAAAAGAUACAUGUUGUCUCUUGUAGAUGAAAACUAAUAAAGUAUGUGUGUG